AUUCGUGAGAGGUGCAAUGGCGCAGGCAACCAAGGAACCUUGCAAGAAAGAGGCCUGUGACAUUCAAGCUUGCCUCUCCAAGAACAACUUUCUUCCACAAAAUUUUCCAAACAAAGCGUCGAUUGAAGCGUAGAUGUAAACUAGGAAAACAUUUGAAUCAUGGUCUCGCAAUAACCACAAGUUGCAAUCAGCAUCCUCAGUUAAUACUGAUUGUUUUGUACCAAAGCUUGUUGAAGAAGAAAAACGAAUUAAAGAUAAAAUGACAUUAUUUCUUUGUUUCAUUUUGUUAGUAUUGUGAUUGCAAGUUUUCUCUCUCGUUUACUAGUCUGGUGUAGGAAAUGAUUGCUGCUAAAGCUACCAAUUGGUUAGCUGUGCGAAGUAUUGUUUAGACCCCUUACAAAUGAAACAUUAUGUGUCUAUAUUUAGGUUGUUCCAACAAUAGGAUCUAAUACAUUGGAUUACUAAUUUAAGAUUUGAGGUUAUAUCUUAGUUAGUAGACGAGAGGGAAGUUUCAACAAUAGAUGCCAACUUUUAAAUGAUUUCCUUAUGUUUCUUGAUUAUAAUUUUUUAUGUAUUCGGCAAAUCGUUUCAGUUGCUAAGGGUGGUUUUCCCUAUUUGUCUCAAGUAAGACAAACUGCUUAGGUCUUGCAUGUCAAUUUUUUGUGCUUAAUACAUGUAACCAGUAUCAAUGGCAGUCCAAUUUUAUUUAUGGAGUUGUUUGGACUGUGCUCGCUGCAGUAACAAGUAACAAUAUUAACUUGCUACAUAUAAUAUCCUUCAUUAAUGAGCUCUAAAUGGUUUACCUGAGCACUUGCACCAAGGAGAAAUACCAGAUUUUGGAAGACUAGGUUCAGUCAUUUAGGAAAAUGUAUGCUAGAGUUGACCUGAGCUCUAAAUUGUUGACCUGAGCGCUUACACCAAAGAGAAAUACCAGAUUUCUAUCUAGAUUGAAAGACUAGGUUCAGUCAUUUAGGAGAAUUUACGCUAGAGUUUGUAGCUGGAAGCUUGCAGUGCUAGCAUUCUAAUGGUGUUUUAUUAGAGAUUGUCACCUUUCAGUUAGUAGUUAGUUGGGCAUCCCCUCUGCAACCUCAUAAAAUACCUCGUCUAAUACUAGUAGAAAGAUCUUUGAAUGAAUAUUCUUCUCCAUCUGCUUUGGAGUUUGUCUCUUUAUGUGCGACAUGCCUCUGAAAAGCAGUGUCCACAUCCAUUGCUCCUUGAGCAAGACUCUCAUCUUGAUUCUCCAUAAGUUUAAACUGUUUUUCUCAUUAAACUUCUUAAUCUUGGAUGUGAUACCCAUCUUCUUGCAAGAACUUGUUACAAAUGCAAAAUGAGAUCAAAAACCGGCUCUAACACCAUUCUCUUGUGCACCUAGUGUGUAAAAAAGUUUAUACGAUUUUUGUUAAAUCAAGAGGGGGUUGAAUUGAUUUUGAAACUUUUUUUGAAAAGAAUAUAUUUCUUUAAGUUCUUUCCAAAAGACAAAGUUUGAGAAUUCAUUUGAUAGAAGAAUUGAAAAACAAUACCAAGGAAGAGAUAAAGCAAGGGAAAGAUCACUCAACAAAUUUAUACUAGUUCAGACCCAACCAAUUCUACAUUCAGUUUUCAACUUUUUCUCCCUUGAAAAACUGGUUCCACUAUUAAAUAAAUGUUGGUUCGAAACAAAACAACAAUUACAAACACAAGACAACAAUACCACAAAUCUCACUUAAAAAGGAUUUUCAGUUUCUAUCUACUCUUGAUCAUCCAGGAGGAUAUAUGCUUUAUCAACUCUUGUUACAAAUACCACAAAACAAUAUUGAUACAAAUCAACAACCGUAGGAUUGAAAAGAAUUUACCAAAGCACACAAGGAAUUAAGAAUUCAACACAACCUUUGAAUCUUGAAAGCACUUAAAAAAAUUGUGUAAAACAACUUUGCUAAUCUCAAUGUAUUACGCUCUAUAUGAUUGCAAAAGUUAUGAAGCUUUAAAAACACUGAUUAAAAACUGGUGCUAUCGCAUUUAAUUGAUUAAAUCAAGUUGUUAAUCGAUUAUCUUAACUGAAUUUUGGAAAAUAGUUACAACGUCUUUCUGGAAUGAUUGAUUAUAGAUCAUGUUAAUUGAUUGACUGAGAGUAAACUGGAAUGAAGCUGAACGGAGAAUGUAGUACAAAGAAACUUCAUGAACUGAGAAUAGUGAUGAAUUGGAAUAAUGCACCGAUUCAAACCACCAAAAACUGAAGCGGAAGCAAUUGCAAGGUGGAACAAGAACUAAAUCAAUGAGAGCUUUUAAGAAUCUGGAUCAGUGAAAAAAUGAUCUGGAUACCAUCUUAAAUAAUUUGAAUAGAGGAGAGAGAGAAAGAGUGAACGAUGAACUAAACGAUUUUUAUUUCUAUUCACUCACUUUGAAUCAUAUGUACAAUAUGUAUUUAUAGAUGCAGUCUUCAGUUAAAUGCCAACAGAAACUGAUAGUUGUACAUAAUAGAAAGAAAAAGUUUACAAUAAUAACUGUUAGAUAUAUUAUAUUAUUAGAUAUUUUAGAUAGAUAUCUUAUCUUUAUAUUUUAUCUUUAGUUAGUUUGUUAUUAUUCUUCUUUUGUAUUUUGGGUUUAGUCCAUAUUUUUUCUAUUAUAAAUAGAGUAUUCUAUGUAUAUAUUCAACACAAAGGAGAUUAAUUUCAUACAUAGUUUUCACUAUAUUCAACAAUAACAAACACACAUCUACACAAUGCAAAGAUAACAAGUCAACUAUAGUAUAUUAGGAAAAGAGAGAAAAAGAUCUUUGGCAGACAUCAACUAAUUAAUAAUAGCUUUACAUUGUUAAGAUACUUAGACAUGGCCCCCAUUUCCUUUUUGCAAAAUUAAAGUUGACACAAUUUUGCUCAAGUUGACAUGGAAGAAGUUGUGUAUUUGUCAAAAUUUCCAUCAAUGAACACAUUCAAACAAGUGCGGAAGUAUUGAAUCUGAAGUGGUGUAUACGAUGAUCUCAGCUGAGAUGAGAUACUCACACAAACAUAAUGGCAAAUUCACAUUAAAAGAGACCGAGUAACAUAAGGGCAACAAUGGGUUUCUUCAAUUGAUGUGCAUCCAUUCUCUUUGGGGAUAUAACAAAUUUAGAUAGAUAAAGCUCCUUUGUAUAUAGCUUUGUCUCAGCUUCUAUUCAGUAAUCAAACACAUGUCCAUUAGAGUUUUGUUUUCUCUUAUGGCAAGUUAUGACACAGAGCUUGAACAGUUGGACAUUAAGUUGACCUUUCUAUGUGGCCAUUUAGAUGGAGAGACUCUGAUGUGUAAGUUGAAAGGUUUUAGAGCUGAGGGUAAAGUUUAUGUGUGUAAAUUGGAGAGAUCAUUGUAUAGACUAAAACAAUAUUUGCAUCUAUCAUAAGAAGGUGGAGAAUGGUGAAUGAGUUUUGUUUACCUAUUGUUGU
This is an RNA transcript of Vigna angularis (adzuki bean), 3395 nucleotides long. RefSeq lists it as uncharacterized. The transcript is spliced from 2 exons. Lineage: Eukaryota; Viridiplantae; Streptophyta; Magnoliopsida; Fabales; Fabaceae. The record is from RefSeq and is a predicted model, not a curated record.